Molecule: long non-coding RNA, 3664 nt
Organism: Brienomyrus brachyistius
Lineage: Eukaryota; Metazoa; Chordata; Actinopteri; Osteoglossiformes; Mormyridae
Exons: 3
Source: RefSeq, a predicted model, not a curated record
AGUUCAGCCUAGCUGGACCAACGAUACCCUCGCCCACCUGUCAUUAACGUGCUGAUGACUGGAUGUCAUGCUUACUCUAAGGCGUGGCUCGCAGACGCCUUUAUUUUUUUCUGUUUGUAAAGCAAUUCAAAAAGUAAUGCUUAUAGAAAUGACAUGUUUCAAUGAUGUCCACGCAGUAGCUUUUGUCUGUUAUGGGAUAUAAUGCAGAGCUUUUUCUGUUCGCGUCCCCGAUUCCUUAGAGAUUGCAGUAAGUCUCCCCUUCUGUGACUCGUGAUCUACUGCUCUUAUUCACGGACAUUGCUUCAUGUCGCAUGGGCAGGAAAUGACAUCACGGCAAGGGCUGCGUCACAUGACUUUUCCACAUCAGCCUGCCUGAGGUGGUUUUGCUCAUGGUGACAUUCCUGUAUCCUGUUGGGGGCCCCCAAGGUCAGUGGACCUGCUGGGCAUGUUUGUUUAGAUUCCCACCUCUGCCCUCUUUGUUUGGUCUUCUGUAGUGUUACCGUACGUCCAGGUUCCCCCCUGACACAUCCUCCUUUUUGGGCCCCCCGCCCGGACGGUUUUUCAAAAAUAGGGUUUGUCUGGGUUUAGCGCUGCAACCCGUAUGAUCCAGUGUUGCAAGUUACAGUGGAGAACUAAGUGAAGGAAAAGGCACCAAUGUUCACUGUACGGCAGCCGCUCAGUAUCGUCACAAGGCACCUGCACACGUUUAAAAAUCGAACAGUAUGCAUUACGUGUCAUCCUGUUCACGAGUGGCAGCUCCUGGAAACGACUGGCACUUUGACACUUUGUUUUUCGCGUGAAAAGUGAAUCGUGUUGUUUGCUUGAAGUUCAACAAACGUUAGCUUAGCAUUUUGAAACUUUGAUGGAAAAACACCUGUAUACAAGUAUAUUGAUUAUGCGUAAAAUUGUGUGUAGAUUAUAAAACGAGAGUUAAACUGUACGUCCGGGUUUCCCCAGACGAGAAUUCUCGUUUUACGGAGUGGUUAGGGAAAACUCAUUAAUAUUUAUAAGAACAGCAUUACAUGAUUGGCCGAUGACUGUGAAAUCUCAUUAACGCUCUGAUUCCCGAACGUGUCCUGGGUUCCGAUGUCCUGUUCACUCCUGUUCUGAACCUUGCAGCUCUCGACCUGGUCUCGGGUCGGGAGGCAUCCGCCCAAAGCUCCGGGUCAGUCCUCAGUAACAAGCGAGGAGUGAGAUUGCCCAUUCUACCUGAUGCAUGUUGUUUACAGAUAACGCUGUACUUGAUUGCAGGUUUGUUAUGACUGGCCCUGAAUAGGAGCAGUGUUACCUGAGGCCUGUAGAAAAAGAAAAUCUGUGAAAAAAGCAGGUAAAUUGAAGUUAGGCCACAAUGAUUAUUUAGGAACAGAAGUACCAAAGUCAGAGCUGUUAUAUGUAAUACGCUUUAAUACACAUGUAAUACACGGUCAGAAGAUGCUCCCGAUGUUCCUGGUCAGUUUCUGGUCCAACAUAGUCAUUGUACUGGCCUUAAAAUGGAACAGAAGUGGCAUUUGUAGCUCUAAUCUGACAUUCCCAGAAUGCACAAUGCUGAUUUAGUAUUUUGAGGAAAAUGCAAAAGUAUAAAUAGUACAGGUCAUUAACUGCUAAUUGAAUCACUUAAGCUGGGGGAAUGGACUGGAACAAGCAGCAGCUGACGAGUGGCAUCCGGUGAGCGCUCAGUGGGCUCACCCUACUUUUUCAGUCGGCGUAUGGAGUUGAUCAUCUGGGGAUCUUGGUGGGUGGGGUCACAGGUGUUGGCCGUCGUGACCUCUGACCUCUCGGGCGUCCAUCUUUGUUUCUUAAGUGGUUUGCUGUGAAGGCCGCUCACAUGAACCAUCCUUCAUCAAUGCAUCAAAGACCUAGACAGCAAAGCUCUUUUAUUAUCACAGAUGUAGCAGGUAAACCCCCUGGGAUAACUUAAAUUGUUUUAUUAUUUAAAGUUACCUUUCCAACUUAGCUCCUGUAGGGAGUUUUACAUAUUUAGGUCUAGGUCCAGUCCUGGUCCAGUGUAAGCUGCCACAGUCGUUCCUCUGGCUUCCUAGCUAAGUCUUUCCAGAACAGCGAUGUCGCUGUUCACUCACAGACAUGGAUGUGACCCAAUCUUGAACUCGCCGGCGUAGCACAUUAUGGGUGGUCUACACCGGGAGUGGAUCUGUAAAACACCAAAGCUGUGGUUUUGAUGCAUCGUAGCCUAAUCUUGUCCCAAAGUUUCUGUUUGUCUGGAAAUAUUACUGGUAAACACUGCCGUUGGCUUACGGUAGUGUGCCUCGUUCCCUGGAACAAGAAACAGGGUCAUUUUCUUACAUUUUUGUAGAAACAACAGCAGCAGCGGUUAAUUAGCGCUUUAUUAGUCAUGUCGGUAUUGGACCACCCUGAGGGAAUUCGCUCGAGGAUUUCUCGAAAACAUCCCGCCGUCCGAGUUCGCAUGUGCCUCUGAGUGCCUCUGAGUCAGAUUCAAAGUACCCGUAAUGUAAAACGUCAAACCGCUAAUAUAAUGCUGAAACGGGCGCAUUAAGGUAACAAUAGGUAUGACAAAUGUCUUAAUGUUAUUUCUGCAGUAUAGCUAAGAGUCAAGUUAAUUCUCUGUGGGAAAGGUACACUCAUCUCCACCAGGGGUCCCUGCCUUGGGCCUCCCCAUCCAAUUUUAUGUAUACGUUUAAAAACUCUAGGCUCCCCUGUAAAUUUCUGGGGCCUCUGAAUGUGCCAGACUAUCUGUGCUCCCCUGACCCCUCAGCCUCUGGUCACCUCACCACCACAUAAUAUUUUUAUUUAUGUGUUUGUUUGUUUUUAUGCUUAUUUUUUACUGAGAAAUAAGAGUCUGACGGUCAUUUGUGUACCUGGAACCUUAACUGAAUACUUGAGAUUCAUUUCCUUUAUACACACUGGAAACAUCUGCACAUAUGAGUCAUUUAAAGUUUACAUACAUUCAGAAGUGUUUGAACCUACAGCAAACUGCUUGGAACUGUGGGUAAUUAAGUGUGUGACUUUAGCCAGAGUGAGCGUGAGAUGAAAUGCGCGGGGAAAGAUGAAUACCGCACGUUAACUGCCCCCAUUAUCCUCCCCGGCGACGAGGCGUUCAGCGUUUUGCUUCUAUUGUGCUGCCUCCUUCAAACCGUGAUUAAGACCCGAUGUGUGAACCCUACAGAUUUUCCCUCUUUCUUCUUUGAUCCUGACAUCACAUGGAAUGAGCAAACAGCCGAAACAAACCUGAGUAAACCCCACCGAGAGGAGAAUGGAGGGGAUUGUUCAUUGGGAAAUGCCGGCAGACCGUGGAAUUAUGGGCACUCGGCAUGCCCAGCCUGGCAUGAAAAACACACGGAACACACAUUACCGGGGCUAUAAAUUAGGUUGGCAAGUAAUUUAGUGAAAGGUGAGUACUAACUAGGUGUUAACCGGCUGGCUAGUAAAAAUGUUACAUUUGUUACUGAACUGGCCCAGUAGACUAGUAGCAACUUUUCUCCUUUUCCAGCCCUGCAAGUAACACUCACAAACCUGCAGUCCUGACCUGUCCGGACAGUGGUCCCUAACCCCUCGUGUGGAUGACCCCAGGUGCCUCUCGUCUGCUCCCUCAUCUGUGGUGUAUAUAGUGCUGCCUCGUCUUGAGUCCGGUCAUUGUAGUGUUAUGUGAAGUGUUACGUGGACUGUCCUGCUGCUGACUGUGUGUACC